UCCGUAGGUGAACCUGCGGAAGGAUUAUUAUUGUUGGGGCUUUGGCCCUGUUGAGAUAGAACCCUUGCUAUUUAUUUGCGUACCUGUUUGUUUCCUUGGUGGGCUCGCCUGCUAAUGGGGACCUUAACUUAACUCUUGUAUUAUUGUCUGUAUAGUCUGAAUUAAAAUCAAAAUUAAAACUUUCAACAACGGAUCUCUUGGUUCUGGCAUUGAUGAAGAACGCAGCGAAAUGCGAUAAGUAGUGUGAAUUGCAGAAUUUAGUGAAUUAUUGAAUCUUUGAACGCACAUUGCGCCCUUUGGUAUUCCUUAGGGCAUGCCUGUUCGAGCGUCAUUUACACCUUCAAGCUCUGCUUGGUGUUGGGCGUCUGUCCUGUCCCCCUCGGGGGCGUGGACUCGCCUUAAAGUCAUUGGCAGCCGGCCUACUGGUUUCGGAGCGCAGCACAAGUCGCACUCUUUUCCAGCCAAGGUCAGCGUCCAACAAGCCUUUUUUCAACUUUUGACCUCGGAUCAGGUAGGGAUACCCGCUGAACUUAA
RNAcentral lists this ribosomal RNA (534 nucleotides) under uncultured fungus. Its description in RNAcentral is "eukaryotic LSU rRNA". The stretch from base 178 to 331 matches the Rfam family "5.8S ribosomal RNA". Lineage: Eukaryota; Fungi. The record is from RNAcentral.